Molecule: ribosomal RNA, 472 nt
Filed under: uncultured soil bacterium
Lineage: Bacteria
Description: bacterial SSU rRNA
Rfam family: Bacterial small subunit ribosomal RNA
Source: RNAcentral
AGGACAAACGCUGGCGGCGUGCCUAAAACAUGCAAGUCGUACGGUCCUUCGGGACAGUGGCGAACGGCUGAGUAACACGUGGGUAACCUACCCUCGAGUGGGGGAUAACCCUCCGAAAGGAGGGCUAAUACCGCGUACGAUCGUUCCACCCUGGUGGAACGAUGAAAGCAGUAAUGCGCUCGGGGAUGGGCCUGCGUCCGAUUAGCUAGUUGGUGAGGUGACGGCCCACCAAGGCUUCGAUCGGUAGCUGGUCUGAGAGGAUGAUCAGCCAGACUGGGACUGUGACACGGCCCAGACUCCGUACGGGAGCAGCAGUUAGGAAUUUGGGCAAUGGGCGAAAGCCUGACCCAGCAACGCCGCGUGGGUGACGAAGGCCUUCGGGUACGUAACGCCUUUUCCGACGGAAGAUAAGUGACGGUACCGGUAGGAACUAACGCCCCGGACUAACCGUACGUCGCCGGCGACGCCGUAC